UUUAAUUCGAAGCAACGCGCAGAACCUUACCAUCCCUUGACAUGUCGUGCCAUCCGGAGAGAUCCGGGGUUCCCUUCGGGGACGCGAACACAGGUGCUGCAUGGCUGUCGUCAGCUCGUGUCGUGAGAUGUUGGGUUAAGUCCCGCAACGAGCGCAACCCACGUCCUUAGUUGCCAUCAUUCAGUUGGGCACUCUAGGGAGACUGCCGGUGAUAAGCCGCGAGGAAGGUGUGGAUGACGUCAAGUCCUCAUGGCCCUUACGGGAUGGGCUACACACGUGCUACAAUGGCGGUGACAGUGGGACGCGAAACCGCGAGGUUGAGCAAAUCCCCAAAAACCGUCUCAGUUCAGAUUGCACUCUGCAACUCGAGUGCAUGAAGGCGGAAUCGCUAGUAAUCGUGGAUCAGCAUGCCA
This 413-nucleotide ribosomal RNA is filed under the name uncultured bacterium. RNAcentral's name for it is "bacterial SSU rRNA". It matches the Rfam family "Bacterial small subunit ribosomal RNA", at positions 945 to 1359 of the family's 1533-position model. The record is from RNAcentral.